GUCUCUAUGGGGGGAUCCAGCACCCCUCUCACCCCCCUUUUCCCUCCCCACAGAUGGUCCCGACCACGACGGGCCCCCCCUGGACUAUGGGGGAGCAGCACGAGCCUGGCAGCCUAUCACGGAGCGUUUCCGAGGCCCCCCCGGGCUGAUGGAGGAGGAGCAGAGGUGAGGAGGGGCCUAUGGGGGGGUUCUGGGGGGGUUCCCGAUGUGUGUCCUCCCCCCUCACUGUGUGUCGUCCCCCCCCUCCAGGCUGGACCCUCCCAGUUGGGGGCCCGGGGGGGGCCCGUUGCCGCGGGAACCGCUGCGGCCCCCCCCGCCUCCGCCUCCCCCCACGGGCCUCCCCCGGCGCCUCCUCCCGCUGCGGCCGCAGCUCCUGGCCCUGGGGCUCCUCGUGGCCCUUCUGGUGCUGCUGCACUUCGGGGGGGGGGGGGGGCACCCCCGAAACCACCCCCCCGCGGAGGAGACCCCCCCAUAACCCCCCUCCUCGACCCCAAUGUCUCACAGGGACCCCCCCAAACCCCACAAGGACCCCCUCAGGGACCCCCCCAAACCACUCAUUGUCCCCCCAGGGACCCCCUAAUAUGCCUUUGGAACACCCAGGGCCCCCCCCGGACCCCAAUACCCCCAGGGCCACCCAACACUAUUAUGCCCCCCCCCCCCCGACCCCCAUUAUCCCCUUUGGACCCACAGGGACCCCCCCGGACCCCAAUACCCCCAGGGCCACCCAACACUAUUAUGCCCCCCCCCCCCCCGACCCCCAUUAUCCCCUUUGGACCCCCAGGGACCCCCCCAAAACCACCCAUUGCCCCCUCCACGGAUCCCCAUUAUCCCCUUGGGAGCCCCCAGAUCACGCCUAGACCCUCCCCAGACCCCCCUUGUUCCGACACGACCCCCCGAAACCGGGGGGGGGAUGAGGGGCGGGAGUCUCCCCCCCCCCAUUAAUAAAGGCAGCGUGUUUGUAUGGACUGGCGUCAAUCAAUGGGCC
RNAcentral lists this long non-coding RNA (985 nucleotides) under Strigops habroptila (Kakapo). Its description in RNAcentral is "lncRNA (ENSSHBG00005007869.1)". The record is from RNAcentral. Lineage: Eukaryota; Metazoa; Chordata; Aves; Psittaciformes; Psittacidae.